This 845-nucleotide ribosomal RNA is filed under the name Codinaeella filamentosa. Its description in RNAcentral is "partial large subunit ribosomal RNA". It matches the Rfam family "Eukaryotic large subunit ribosomal RNA", at positions 65 to 943 of the family's 3401-position model. The record is from RNAcentral. Lineage: Eukaryota; Fungi; Ascomycota; Sordariomycetes; Chaetosphaeriales; Chaetosphaeriaceae.
CCAACAGGGAUUGCCUCAGUAACGGCGAGUGAAGCGGCAACAGCUCAAAUUUGAAAUCUGGCCCCAGGCCCGAGUUGUAAUUUGCAGAGGAUGCUUCUGGCAAGGUGCCGUCCAAGUCCCCUGGAACGGGGCGCCGAAGAGGGUGAGAGCCCCGUCCGGUCGGCCGCCAAGCCUGUGUGAAGCUCCUUCGACGAGUCGAGUAGUUUGGGAAUGCUGCUCUAAACGGGAGGUAGACCCCUUCUAAAGCUAAAUACCGGCCAGAGACCGAUAGCGCACAAGUAGAGUGAUCGAAAGAUGAAAAGCACUUUGAAAAGAGGGUUAAAAAGUACGUGAAAUUGUUGAAAGGGAAGCGCUUGUGACCAGACGUGUGCCGGGGUGCUCAGCGGGCGUUCUCGCCCGUGCACUCGCCCCGGCACAGGCCAGCGUCGGUUCGCGCGGGGGGACAAAGGCGCCGGGAACGUAGCUCCUCCGGGAGUGUUAUAGCCCGGCGUGCCAUGCCCCCGCGCGGACCGAGGUUCGCGCUCCGCAAGGACGCUGGCGUAAUGGUCUCCAGCGGCCCGUCUUGAAACACGGACCAAGGAGUCGAGGUUUUGCGCGAGUGUUUGGGUGUCAAACCCGCACGCGUAAUGAAAGUGAACGCAGGUGGGAGCUUCGGCGCACCACCGACCGAUCCUGAUGUUCUCGGAUGGAUUUGAGUAGGAGCGUAGGGCCUCGGACCCGAAAGAUGGUGAACUAUACGUGGAUAGGGUGAAGCCAGAGGAAACUCUGGUGGAGGCUCGCAGCGGUUCUGACGUGCAAAUCGAUCGUCAAAUCUGCGUAUGGGGGCGAAAGACUAAUCGAACCAU